UAGGAGGUAGUAUAGUAGGUAGUACGUGAGAGUUUGAUUCUCGUGGUGCGGGUUCGUGUCCCGGUCUCUUAU
This 72-nucleotide transfer RNA is filed under the name Hemidactylus farasani (Farasan gecko). RNAcentral's name for it is "tRNA-Gln". It matches the Rfam family "tRNA". From Rfam's summary of the family: Transfer RNA (tRNA) molecules are approximately 80 nucleotides in length. Their secondary structure includes four short double-helical elements and three loops (D, anti-codon, and T loops). The record is from RNAcentral. Lineage: Eukaryota; Metazoa; Chordata; Lepidosauria; Squamata; Gekkonidae.